RNAcentral lists this non-coding RNA (22 nucleotides) under Arabidopsis thaliana (thale cress). Lineage: Eukaryota; Viridiplantae; Streptophyta; Magnoliopsida; Brassicales; Brassicaceae. The record is from RNAcentral. RNAcentral also lists the same sequence under 1 other name.
CCACAGGGAUAACUGGCUUGUG